AAGGACACCGCCCGCCGCGCCCCCUGGGCUGGAGGUGCCAGGCCCGUGCGAGUGUUCGCGCUCCCACCAUCUCUACCGGUCCAGGCACAAGCAACAGCUGUGCCUGCCAGCAGCAAUCAGAUCCCAGAGCGCCUCUCUCGCCUUUCACGGUUCUCAGCAGGGUGCCUCACCCGAGCAGGCGGCGUCCGAGUAAACGCCUCCUCCAGGCAGUCCUCGGGUAACAGGCCAAGGAGAAAACUGUGACCAGGACCGUGAAAGCUGACUUGACCUUUUCAGGUCCCCGAACACCAUCUCGACCCCCACUGCCCCGCCUCGUUGAAAAGCGGCCUGUGUCUGGGCAUCAGGCCCUGCAGUAGGAAGACCUUACAUGAAGGAUGCCUUAAGUGUUCCUCGUUGGUAAGAUCCCGGAAUCUUGGAGGCAUUUAGCCUUGUUCUCUACUUGCCUCUUGUUUUUAUCACAC
Molecule: long non-coding RNA, 461 nt
Organism: Felis catus (domestic cat)
Lineage: Eukaryota; Metazoa; Chordata; Mammalia; Carnivora; Felidae
Exons: 3
Source: RefSeq, a predicted model, not a curated record